GAGUUUGCUCGCGGUGGUCCAG
Molecule: non-coding RNA, 22 nt
Filed under: Arabidopsis thaliana (thale cress)
Lineage: Eukaryota; Viridiplantae; Streptophyta; Magnoliopsida; Brassicales; Brassicaceae
Source: RNAcentral